GUACUUACCUGGCAGGGAAGAUGCUAUGAUCAUGAAGGUGGUUCCCCAGGGCAAGGUUUAUCCAUUGCACCGUGAAUAUGCUGACUCCUGCAAUUUCCCAAAUAUGGGAAACUCAGCUGUGUAAUUUACGGCACUGGGAGACUGCAUUUGCACUUUCCCC
This is a small nuclear RNA of Cavia aperea (Brazilian guinea pig), 160 nucleotides long. Its record names the gene U1. It matches the Rfam family "U1 spliceosomal RNA". Rfam says of the family: U1 is a small nuclear RNA (snRNA) component of the spliceosome (involved in pre-mRNA splicing). The record is from Ensembl. NCBI's taxonomy places the organism in Eukaryota, Metazoa, Chordata, Mammalia, Rodentia, Caviidae.